GGUCGAGCCCGCGGCACUGCGAGGCUCCGAACCGCGUCAGGUCCGGGAGGAAGCAGCGCUAAGGAUCCCUCGCAGGUGCCGCGGUCUCACGGCGCGU
This 97-nucleotide signal recognition particle RNA is filed under the name Actinomycetota bacterium. Its description in RNAcentral is "signal recognition particle sRNA small type". It matches the Rfam family "Bacterial small signal recognition particle RNA". From Rfam's summary of the family: The signal recognition particle (SRP) is a universally conserved ribonucleoprotein involved in the co-translational targeting of proteins to membranes. Archaeal SRP consists of a 7S RNA and homologues of the eukaryotic SRP19 and SRP54 proteins. Lineage: Bacteria; Bacillati; Actinomycetota. The record is from RNAcentral.